CUACAGAGGGUGCAAGCGUUAAUCGGAAUUACUGGGCGUAAAGCGCACGUAGGUGGCUUGAUAAGUUGGAUGUGAAAUCCCCGAGCUUAACUUGGGAAUUGCAUUCAAGACUGUCUUGCUAGAGUGUGGAAGAGGGAAGCGGAAUUCCAGGUGUAGCGGUGAAAUGCGUAGAUAUCUGGAGGAACAUCAGUGGCGAAGGCGGCUUCCUGGUCCAACACUGACACUGAGGUGCGAAAGCGUGGGGAGCGAACAGGAUUAGAUACCCUGGUAGUCCACGCAGUAAACGAUGAAUACUAGGUGUAGGGGGUAUCGACUCCCUCUGUGCCGCAGUUAACACAAUAAGUAUUCCGCCUGGGGAGUACGGCCGCAAGGUUGAAACUCAAAGGAAUUGACGGG
Molecule: ribosomal RNA, 396 nt
Filed under: uncultured bacterium
Lineage: Bacteria
Description: partial 16S ribosomal RNA
Rfam family: Bacterial small subunit ribosomal RNA
Source: RNAcentral